Molecule: ribosomal RNA, 331 nt
Filed under: fungal sp.
Lineage: Eukaryota; Fungi
Description: SSU rRNA
Rfam family: Eukaryotic small subunit ribosomal RNA
Source: RNAcentral
CGCGUAAUAGAAGUGCAAGUUGCAUGGCUAGCUCUUCUUAUAGGGACAGACUACGUUUAGUGGUCGGAAGUUUGAGGCAAUAACAGGUCUGUGAUGCCCUUAGAUGUUCUGGGCUGCACGCGCGCUACACUGACAGAGGCAGCGAGUAUACAACCUUGACCGGAAGGUCUGGGCAAUCUUUUGAAACUCUGUCGUGCUGGGGAUAGAGCAUUGCAAUUAUUGCUCUUCAACGAGGAAUUCCUAGUAAGCGCAUGUCAUCAGCAUGCGUUGAUUACGUCCCUGCCCUUUGUACACACCGCCCGUCGCUACUACCGAUUGAAUGGAUAAAAAA